UGUUUGAUGUUCUAACGUGGACCCGUGAUCCGGGUUGCGGACAGUGUCUGGUGGGUAGUUUGACUGGGGCGGUCUCCUCCUAAAGAGUAACGGAGGAGCACGAAGGUUGGCUAAUCCUGGUCGGACAUCAGGAGGUUAGUGCAAUGGCAUAAGCCAGCUUGACUGCGAGCGUGACGGCGCGAGCAGGUGCGAAAGCAGGUCAUAGUGAUCCGGUGGUUCUGAAUGGAAGGGCCAUCGCUCAACGGAUAAAAGGUACUCCGGGGAUAACAGGCUGAUACCGCCCAAGAGUUCAUAUCGACGGCGGUGUUUGGCACCUCGAUGUCGGCUCAUCACAUCCUGGGGCUGAAGUAGGUCCCAAGGGUAUGGCUGUUCGCCAUUUAAAGUGGUACGCGAGCUGGGUUUAGAACGUCGUGAGACAGUUCGGUCCCUAUCUGCCGUGGGCGCUGGAGAACUGAGGGGGGCUGCUCCUAGUACGAGAGGACCGGAGUGGACGCAUCACUGGUGUUCGGGUUGUCAUGCCAAUGGCACUGCCCGGUAGCUAAAUGCGGAAGAGAUAAGUGCUGAAAGCAUCUAAGCACGAAACUUGCC
This 588-nucleotide ribosomal RNA is filed under the name Escherichia coli. RNAcentral describes it as "partial 23S ribosomal RNA". It matches the Rfam family "Bacterial large subunit ribosomal RNA", at positions 2211 to 2798 of the family's 2925-position model. RNAcentral also lists the same sequence under 4 other names. Lineage: Bacteria; Pseudomonadati; Pseudomonadota; Gammaproteobacteria; Enterobacterales; Enterobacteriaceae. The record is from RNAcentral.